RNAcentral lists this ribosomal RNA (254 nucleotides) under uncultured bacterium. RNAcentral's name for it is "partial 16S ribosomal RNA". It matches the Rfam family "Bacterial small subunit ribosomal RNA", at positions 524 to 776 of the family's 1533-position model. The record is from RNAcentral.
UACAGAGGUGGCAAGCGUUGUUCGGAAUUACUGGGCGUAAAGGGCGCGUAGGCGGCCAUCUAAGUCAGACGUGGAAUCCCCCGGCUUAACCUGGGAACUGCGUCUGAUACUGGACGGCUCGAGUAUGGGAGAGGGAUGUAGAAUUCCAGGUGUAGCGGUGAAAUGCGUAGAUAUCUGGAGGAAUACCGGUGGCGAAGGCGGCAUCCUGGACCAUUUACUGACGCUGAGGCGCGAAAGCUAGGGGAGCAAACGGG